Molecule: long non-coding RNA, 1840 nt
Organism: Zalophus californianus (California sea lion)
Lineage: Eukaryota; Metazoa; Chordata; Mammalia; Carnivora; Otariidae
Exons: 3
Source: RefSeq, a predicted model, not a curated record
CACUCACAGCCAGGCCUAUCUUGGUCAGACGAGCGGCCUCCUGUGUUCCUGCCUCAGGGUCCCCUUCGGUGAAAUGGUGACAAGAUAGCACAGACCUUCUGAGAGCGCCCCCUAUGUGGACAUCGUCCUCAGCGCUUUGCGCCGAUGUGCUCACAAGAUUCCUACUGAGCCCUACUUUCUAUUCCCGCUUCACAGAGACGCAUUGCGAGAAGAGACAAGUUGAGUAACAAUAACAGUAAUAGUGACGAAUGAGGUCCCGUUCCUUGCCCUGAGCCCGGCCUUUUACGUGGAUCAGCGCUUGGACAGCACAACCACAAGAAAAUUGCCCUCUUGAGCAGCUGCAUGGAUGAGCAGUCCCAAGAGUACUGCCUUCAGGAUCACAGGUCUGGUUCUGCCGGUAUCUGACUGGGGGCCCCGGGGGCGCGGGUCACAAAGCCUCUGAGCCCCAACGUCCCCAUCUGUCGCAUGGAGGCACCAUCAGCACCCAUUCCGCUUGCAUGGCCAGCUCAGGGGUGCCGAGUGACUCCUCUGCACUCUUGUAAGACUUAUGGCUCGAUGAUUGUUGUGCGGCCACAUUUAGGCGGGUUUUUAAAAAGAUUGAUUGGUUGAUUGAUUGAUUUAAGAGAGCACGAGCGAGAGGGGCAGAGGGAGAGAGAAACUCAAGCAGACUCCGCGCUGUGCAGGGAGUCUGAUUCGAGGUUGGAUCUCAGGACCCUGAAAUCAAGACCUGAGCAGAGAACACGAGUCGGAGGCUCAACAGACUGCCCCUUUCAGGCGCCCCUAGGCGGUUUUGAAUAGCACAAUAGAAAAUGUUAAUAAAGUGCAACUUUAUGUGCAGAAUUUGAGCUAAGGUAUUCGUUCAAAUUAAAAAUCCCCCAAAAGACCCAGCUCCAGGCCUGUGCCCCAGAGAAGCACGGUCCGAAUUCGCGCCGUGGCCACAAGAGGGCGCCCGUGAGCGGAGGCCGAGCCGUGGGAGGGCGGCUGCGCCAGCCCGGGACCCGCCAGUCGAGCUUUGUCUGUUUCCCGGGGAACGCAGGCUUUCGCUGGCUUCCACGCCCGCACCCUCCGCCUCUCCCUCACACCUCUCUGCUGCCCAGACGACCUGUCCUGGCGCAUCCCACCUUCUCCCACCGCCAAGACCUCCCCAGGGCUCGCGGCCAACUCGUGGGAGUUUCCCUCCCACGUGGCGCGGCCCCUGGCCAUCUUCGCAGGGAAUCUCCUCCACACCCGAUUGUGCUCCGGGGUCUGAUUCUCUCUCGAAGCACUGGGUGGUCCCAUCGCCCCACUCAACGCACGCCGCUCCGCCUGGCCGUCACCUCUCCUGCUCCUGAAAUCCGGCCUUCUGUCUUCCAUGACGUCCUCUCGCGUCCGGACUUCCGCAUUUCUCUGUCCUGAACACAACCAAAACACCCAGCUGUAUGACAGACACCCCGACCCUGACGGUCCACCGCCGAGCUACCUCCCCCCUGGCAUCCCAGCUAUUCUCCCUGUGGCUCAGGCCACCCCCACUCCCACUCAACAGCAAGUCAGUCGGCUCUCUGCUCAACAGCUGGGAGGCCUGUGGAGACCCAGCCCCCGAGGCGCCCACUGCUCGGCUGGCCCCUCUCGCCCGCCCCAGCUGUGUGGGCACCUGGGCCAGAGCCCAGCCUCCCCGGCCCGCCUUCUGCACGCCCGCGGGCUCACCGCCCUACGGUCUCCUCUCAAAGCUACCUUCUCCGGUGGGCUAUUGUCAUAAAAGGGAAGGAAGCCCUGACACACGCCACAACGUGGUGAACCUCGCAAACCUUGACGCUGAGUGAGAGAAGCCUGUCACAAAAGGCCACGGAGUGUAUGAUUCCAC